GACGAACGCUGGCGGCGUGCUUAACACAUGCAAGUCGAACGGAAAGGCCCUGCUUUUGUGGGGUGCUCGAGUGGCGAACGGGUGAGUAACACGUGAGUAACCUGCCCUUGACUUUGGGAUAACUUCAGGAAACUGGGGCUAAUACCGGAUAGGAGCUCCUGCUGCAUGGUGGGGGUUGGAAAGUUUCGGCGGUUGGGGAUGGACUCGCGGCUUAUCAGCUUGUUGGUGGGGUAGUGGCUUACCAAGGCUUUGACGGGUAGCCGGCCUGAGAGGGUGACCGGCCACAUUGGGACUGAGAUACGGCCAGACUCCUACGGGAGGCAGCAGUGGGGAAUAUUGCACAAUGGGCGGAAGCCUGAUGCAGCAACGCCGCGUGCGGGAUGACGGCCUUCGGGUUGUAAACCGCUUUCGCCUGUGACGAAGCGUGAGUGACGGUAAUGGGUAAAGAAGCACCGGCUAACUACGUGCCAGCAGCCGCGGUGAUACGUAGGGUGCGAGCGUUGUCCGGAUUUAUUGGGCGUAAAGGGCUCGUAGGUGGUUGAUCGCGUCGGAAGUGUAAUCUUGGGGCUUAACCCUGAGCGUGCUUUCGAUACGGGUUGACUUGAGGAAGGUAGGGGAGAAUGGAAUUCCUGGUGGAGCGGUGGAAUGCGCAGAUAUCAGGAGGAACACCAGUGGCGAAGGCGGUUCUCUGGGCCUUUCCUGACGCUGAGGAGCGAAAGCGUGGGGAGCGAACAGGCUUAGAUACCCUGGUAGUCCACGCUGUAAACGGUGGGUACUAGGUGUGGGGUCCAUUCCACGGGUUCCGUGCCGUAGCUAACGCUUUAAGUACCCCGCCUGGGGAGUACGGCCGCAAGGCUAAAACUCAAAGGAAUUGACGGGGCCCCGCACAAGCGGCGGAGCAUGCGGAUUAAUUCGAUGCAACGCGUAGAACCUUACCUGGGUUUGACAUGGAUCGGAAGCGCUCAGAGAUGGGUGUGCCUCUUUUGGGGUCGGUUCACAGGUGGUGCAUGGCUGUCGUCAGCUCGUGUCGUGAGAUGUUGGGUUAAGUCCCGCAACGAGCGCAACCCUUGUUCACUGUUGCCAGCACGUUAUGGUGGGGACUCAGUGGAGACCGCCGGGGUCAACUCGGAGGAAGGUGGGGAUGACGUCAAGUCAUCAUGCCCCUUAUGUCCAGGGCUUCACGCAUGCUACAAUGGCUGGUACAGAGAGUGGCGAGCCUGUGAGGGUGAGCGAAUCUCGGAAAGCCGGUCUCAGUUCGGAUUGGGGUCUGCAACUCGACCUCAUGAAGUCGGAGUCGCUAGUAAUCGCAGAUCAGCAACGCUGCGGUGAAUACGUUCCCGGGGCU
Molecule: ribosomal RNA, 1345 nt
Filed under: uncultured bacterium
Lineage: Bacteria
Description: bacterial SSU rRNA
Rfam family: Bacterial small subunit ribosomal RNA
Source: RNAcentral